GGUUUGGCUCAGUGGGUAGAGCGUCAGCCUGUGGGCUGAAAGGUCCCGGGUUCGAUUCCCGGUCAGGCCA
This 70-nucleotide transfer RNA is filed under the name Myotis lucifugus (little brown bat). It matches the Rfam family "tRNA". From Rfam's summary of the family: Transfer RNA (tRNA) molecules are approximately 80 nucleotides in length. Their secondary structure includes four short double-helical elements and three loops (D, anti-codon, and T loops). Further hydrogen bonds mediate the characteristic L-shaped molecular structure. tRNAs have two regions of fundamental functional importance: the anti-codon, which is responsible for specific mRNA codon recognition, and the 3' end, to which the tRNAs corresponding amino acid is attached (by aminoacyl-tRNA synthetases). tRNAs cope with the degeneracy of the genetic code in two manners: having more than one tRNA (with a specific anti-codon) for a particular amino acid; and 'wobble' base-pairing, i.e. permitting non-standard base-pairing at the 3rd anti-codon position. Lineage: Eukaryota; Metazoa; Chordata; Mammalia; Chiroptera; Vespertilionidae. The record is from Rfam by way of RNAcentral.